Long non-coding RNA from Ipomoea nil (Japanese morning glory), 73 nucleotides. RefSeq lists it as uncharacterized. The record is from RefSeq and is a predicted model, not a curated record. The transcript is spliced from 3 exons. NCBI's taxonomy places the organism in Eukaryota, Viridiplantae, Streptophyta, Magnoliopsida, Solanales, Convolvulaceae.
CGGGUGUUAUUGUUGGAGCAACGUGGUCUGAUCCCUGUAACAAAUAUCAACUUAGAUUGUAACAACUAAGAUG